Molecule: long non-coding RNA, 494 nt
Filed under: Vigna radiata
Lineage: Eukaryota; Viridiplantae; Streptophyta; Magnoliopsida; Fabales; Fabaceae
Description: long non-coding RNA (VRAD_LNC011421)
Source: RNAcentral
CUAAUUCUGUGCUCUAGUGCAGUGUUAUUUAGUGUAUGCAGGAUAAAUUUUUUGGUACUAGGAGCAUAAGAUCAUCAGGAGGCAGAUAAGGAAGUAGAAUUGGUUCACCAACACCAUGAUGUGAAAAGUGACGAACCCUAACCUGGCACAUUAAUGAAAUUCAAAAUUAGGUUAUGGGAUGUCAAGACUAUUAAAGCAAACAAAGCUCUUGAGAUUAAGGAUCCUUAAAGUUGGUGACAAAGGAAAUUUCUGAGAUUUUGUUGGUGUCAUGAAGGAAGGAAGAACGUCGAUAUAAAAUAUCAACACCUACUGAUGGGUGUUUGGGCUUUAUCGAGUCAAGCUAAUGACGUUAAAGAAGCGCUUGCUGGGAGGCAACCCAGUUUCUAACCCCAUUUUUUAAUUUUCUUUUUCUUUUCUUUUAUUUUAUUUGAUUUUAUUUUAUUUUAUUUUUUUAGGUUAAAUGCUGCUUCUGAUGGUAAUGAUGAUAGCAUCUA